Long non-coding RNA from Zea mays, 957 nucleotides. RefSeq lists it as uncharacterized. NCBI's taxonomy places the organism in Eukaryota, Viridiplantae, Streptophyta, Magnoliopsida, Poales, Poaceae. The record is from RefSeq and is a predicted model, not a curated record. The transcript has 5 exons.
AGUCGCAACCGCACCCACCUCGUCUUGAGUCAUCAGAUCUAGUACGACGGUUUUCAAUCGAUGCGCGAGGUAUAAAAAACUAAAAUUUCACCACGCUCGGGGAACCCUAGCUCAUUUUCACUCUGCUUGGCCACGAACUCUUUUCUCCCUCCUCUAGCACCAGUGAAGGCCAAGAGUGUCAUGUCCUGGCGGCUGGCGCCACACCUGUGAACUCCCGCUAACACAUGCCCUCCCCUCUAUGUGAACACACCAUUAUCGAGGGGCCUCGUGGUGAUGUUGUGGUAGCGCCUGUGUCCCACGAAUCAAUGUCCAACAAUGGUCUUCAUUGAGCUCGUCGUCGGUGACAAAAUCAAAAGCUACUGCUCGAUGCUGCCCUCUCGAUCCCGGAGUCUAUCGCUGUCCCCCUGGUUUCAGCCCUCAAACCCCAGCGUCGAUCUCCCUCGUCUUGCUGCCGGUUUACCGUGGAAGAAGAAAGUCCAUUCGGCGCGCUCUAUGUGUUUGGCAAAAAGCUUAAACCGGAAAUCGUCAUCGCCCUUACACAUAUCGAUUUGGUUUAUGACAUGAUUCCAAGUUCACACAACAGGAGUUGCCAGCUUGCAAGCCGAUUCUUACUCCAAAAUGGGUUGUCUCUGUUUUCUUCAUCGUCGGGGUCAUAUUUGUUCCCAUUGGUGUUAUCUUCAGGAUAAUUUUGGAAAAGGAAAGAGAAAACAAUACCAGAUGCCUUACAACCUGAAUUAGGGAAAGGAUUGCUAAUUGCACAUGGAAGUCACCAAGAACUUGGUAAAGGUGAUUCAAUGACAAAUCUAAUGAUUAACAUGUGCGAUGUGGUAAGUUUGGUCUUACUCAGUUUUCACUUCAAAGUUCUGGUUAGAUUUGAGCACUUGUUUUUCAUGAAGGUCGGCUGAGUAACUUGAGUAUUUUUAAUGACAAAAGUUACAAACACCAGAUGGCUAAUGC